Molecule: non-coding RNA, 76 nt
Organism: Podarcis lilfordi (Lilford's wall lizard)
Lineage: Eukaryota; Metazoa; Chordata; Lepidosauria; Squamata; Lacertidae
Source: the annotation of a GenBank genome assembly
GCAUAGCUCAGCUGGCUAGAGCGUGGUGCUGAUAACGGCGAGGUUGCAGGUUUGAGACCCAUAUGGGACAGCUGCA